This 594-nucleotide ribosomal RNA is filed under the name Dyadobacter sp. BvIRHM033. RNAcentral describes it as "bacterial SSU rRNA". It matches the Rfam family "Bacterial small subunit ribosomal RNA", at positions 102 to 694 of the family's 1533-position model. The record is from RNAcentral. Lineage: Bacteria; Pseudomonadati; Bacteroidota; Cytophagia; Cytophagales; Spirosomataceae. RNAcentral also lists the same sequence under 1 other name.
ACGGGUGCGUAACGCGUAUGCAACCUACCUUCAACUGGGGGAUAGCCCGGGGAAACCCGGAUUAAUACCGCAUAACACAAUGAGGUCUCAUGGUUUUAUUGUUAAAGAUUUAUUGGUUGAAGAUGGGCAUGCGUUCGAUUAGCUAGUUGGCGGGGUAACGGCCCACCAAGGCGACGAUCGAUAGGGGAGCUGAGAGGUUGAUCCCCCACACGGGCACUGAGAUACGGGCCCGACUCCUACGGGAGGCAGCAGUAGGGAAUAUUGGGCAAUGGAUGCAAGUCUGACCCAGCCAUGCCGCGUGCCGGAUGAAGGCCCUCAGGGUUGUAAACGGCUUUUAUUCGGGAAGAAGAGCACGGAUGCGUCUGUGUGUGACGGUACCGAAUGAAUAAGCACCGGCUAACUCCGUGCCAGCAGCCGCGGUAAUACGGAGGGUGCGAGCGUUGUCCGGAUUUAUUGGGUUUAAAGGGUGCGUAGGUGGCUUUUUAAGUCAGUGGUGAAAUACAGCCGCUCAACGGUUGAGGUGCCAUUGAUACUGAAGAGCUUGAAACAAGUGGAGGCUGCCGGAAUGGAUGGUGUAGCGGUGAAAUGCAUAGA